Oreochromis aureus is the source of this 1401-nucleotide long non-coding RNA. The record is from Ensembl. Lineage: Eukaryota; Metazoa; Chordata; Actinopteri; Cichliformes; Cichlidae.
CUCUUGUUUGCUGUUUUACUUUGAUAGUCUUGUGUGCUAUGUUAGUGUUUUCAUGUCUGUGAAGGUUCUCAGUCAUCUAGGUCAUCGUAGUCUAAGGAGUUUGGAAAGAAAGCGUCUGGACUUGAAGUUGCUUGAAGAUGUUUCACCUUCUCGGAUGAAAAGAACUUCAACUUUGCUUGAACGUCUUCAAGCAACUUAAAGAAGUCCAGACGUUUUCUUUCUAAGCUCCUUAGACUAUGUUAGUGUUUUCAGUUUUCCUUCCCCAUGGUCUUGUUGUUUGUGAUUUGUGGCAGCUGUGCUCUCAUCCUGUGUCUUAUUCCCUCAUUUAUCCCUCUGUGUAUUUAAGCCCAUUGUUUUCCUCUGUUUGCUGUUGGGUUGUCUGUGUAUCAUCCAUGACAAUUAAAUUAAAUAGCAAAUGCAACUACAAUUUCAAUGAGAUUCAUUCCUGGCAUUCUACUGCGGUGGCUGAAAGUAGACACCAAGCAUUAUCACUGUAACUGAUGUAAAUAUUGGACUUGGAGGAUUCAUCUGAUAGACUGAUGCAAACAUUACUGUGAGGAAAAUUUUGAAUCUCCCAAUUUUCUUUUUUUCUGAAAGAAAGAAAGUCGGUUACUGUAUCACAUUUGUAUGGCAAGAUGUGAAUUCAGUAUGCGUGUGUGUUUGUGUCAGAGAGGAGUUUAUCUGAGCCAGGGGUAAAGCAGGAGGUCCUCCAGCAUUGGGCACUUCUCCAGGACUUUGUUAAAACUUGUUUUCAAGACGUCUGAAAUGAAAGAAGGACAAGAGAUAUCGAGAUGAUAAUUCCAGUGAUCCAAGCGAUCACAUUGAUUUUCUGCAAAAUUUUCUUUUUGAGAGUCAUUCGGCUGGGCAGGGGGUAUAACACAUCUGCAAUGCAGCAACAUCUGCUCUCUGGGCCUGUGUGAGAGUGUUAUCUCAAUGGCGGUGAUAGGUUUGUAGCUUGAACCUAUCCGCUGGAACGUUGAAGGCAAUGUAAUUACACAGCAAAGCAAGACACGAGUAGGCAACAUUCUUUAUGUUUCACGUGCACGGGAGAGAACUGGACAGGCGCCGUUCCUUCGCUUGACCCCAGUUGCUCUCGUCCGUUCCCCCGUAACACUGCUCUUUUAUUGUGGUUACAUGAAUAUGCAUAGGUUCAUUAACAUAUGACGUAUACCUUGUGUGUGUGUGUGUGUGUGUGUGUGUGUGUGGGGUCGAGAUAUGACCCCAUGAAGACUCCCCAAAGCUGGUGCCAGGAGUCUAACGGUACAUCUGAACAAAAGGCUCUUAGACUCAAACAGAUAUACGUAUGUUUGCUAUACCAUAUAUCAGCAAGAGAAGAUACGACCUCUCCUAGGAGGUGUGUGAUCUAUGCCAGAACACUCUGGAGAGGAGUGAAUGCACUCC